UACAGAGGUCUCAAGCGUUGUUCGGAUUCAUUGGGCGUAAAGGGUGCGUAGGCGGCGCGGUAAGUCGGGUGUGAAAUCUCGGAGCUUAACUCCGAAACUGCAUUAGAUACUGCCGUGCUUGAGGACUGGAGAGGAGACUGGAAUUUACGGUGUAGCGGUGAAAUGCGUAGGUAUCGUAAGGAAGACCAGUGGCGAAGGCGGGUCUCUGGACAGUUCCUGACGCUGAGGCACGAAGGUCAGGGGAGCAAACGGG
RNAcentral lists this ribosomal RNA (253 nucleotides) under uncultured bacterium. RNAcentral's name for it is "partial 16S ribosomal RNA". It matches the Rfam family "Bacterial small subunit ribosomal RNA", at positions 524 to 776 of the family's 1533-position model. The record is from RNAcentral.